Molecule: long non-coding RNA, 158 nt
Filed under: Cyanistes caeruleus (blue tit)
Lineage: Eukaryota; Metazoa; Chordata; Aves; Passeriformes; Paridae
Description: lncRNA (ENSCCEG00000023439.1)
Source: RNAcentral
GACAGGGCUGGUGACUUUACAGUUCUCCUGUUGAGACUCUACUCUUCUGUGACAUGACAUUUUGCCCUCAGAUUUGUCACACACCUCCCAGACACUGCCUCUUCUGUCAGUAGUACUUACAUUUUUGUCUGCGUUUCUGCUGAUAAAAUUCAACUGAU